RNAcentral lists this ribosomal RNA (253 nucleotides) under uncultured bacterium. RNAcentral describes it as "partial 16S ribosomal RNA". It matches the Rfam family "Bacterial small subunit ribosomal RNA", at positions 524 to 776 of the family's 1533-position model. The record is from RNAcentral.
UACGGGGGGUGCGAGCGUUGUCCGGAAUCACUGGGCGUAAAGGGCGCGUAGGUGGCCUGAUAAGGGUGUGGUGAAAGUCCGGGGCUCAACCCCGGAUCUGCCGUGCCGACUGUUGGGCUGGAGUACUGUAGGGGCAGGCGGAAUUCCGGGUGUAGCGGUGGAAUGCGUAGAGAUCCGGAGGAAGACCGGUGGCGAAGGCGGCCUGCUGGACCAACACUGACACUGAAAAGCGAAAGCCAGGGGAGCAAACGGG